This 23-nucleotide non-coding RNA is filed under the name Rattus norvegicus (Norway rat). Lineage: Eukaryota; Metazoa; Chordata; Mammalia; Rodentia; Muridae. The record is from RNAcentral.
AAGUCAGGCACAGCUAAACAAGU